Molecule: ribosomal RNA, 467 nt
Filed under: uncultured bacterium
Lineage: Bacteria
Description: partial 16S ribosomal RNA
Rfam family: Bacterial small subunit ribosomal RNA
Source: RNAcentral
GACGAACGCUGGCGGCGUGCUUAACACAUGCAAGUCGAACGGAAAGGCCUCUUUCGGGGGGUACUCGAGUGGCGAACGGGUGAGUAACACGUGAGUAACCUGCCCUUGACUUUGGGAUAACUUCAGGAAACUGGGGCUAAUACCGGAUAGGAGCUCCUGCUGCAUGGUGGGGGUUGGAAAGUUUCGGCGGGUGGGGAUGGACUCGCGGCUUAUCAGCUUGUUGGUGGGGUAGUGGCUUACCAAGGCUUUGACGGGUAGCCGGCCUGGGGGGGUGACCGGCCACAUUGGGACUGAGAUACGGCCCAGACUCCUACGGGAGGCAGCAGUGGGGAAUAUUGCACAAUGGGUGGAAGCCUGAUGCAGCAACGCCGUGUGCGGGAUGACGGCCUUCGGGUUGUAAACCGCUUUCGCUCAUGACGAAGCUUUGUGUGACGGUAGUGGGUAAAGAAGCACCGGCUAACUACGUG